UACGGAGGGUGCGAGCGUUAAUCGGAAUUACUGGGCGUAAAGGGUGCGUAGGUGGUCUAUUAAGUUAUGUGUGAAAUCCCUGGGCUUAACCUAGGAAGGCCAGAUAAGACUGAUAGACUUGAGUAUGGGAGAGGGUAGUGGAAUUUCCGGUGUAGCGGUGAAAUGCGUAGAGAUCGGAAGGAACACCGGUGGCGAAGGCGGCUACCUGGCCUAAUACUGACACUGAGGCACGAAAGCGUGGGGAGCAAACAGG
Molecule: ribosomal RNA, 253 nt
Filed under: uncultured bacterium
Lineage: Bacteria
Description: partial 16S ribosomal RNA
Rfam family: Bacterial small subunit ribosomal RNA
Source: RNAcentral